GGACUACACGGGUUUCUAAUCCUGUUUGCUCCCCACGCUUUCGCGCCUCAGCGUCAGUUGUGGUCCAGAGAGCCGCCUUCGCCACCGGUGUUCUUCCCAAUAUCUACGAAUUUCACCUCUACACUGGGAAUUCCACUCUCCUCUCCCACACUCAAGCUCCAGAGUAUCAAAUGCAAUUCCCAGGUUAAGCCCGGGGCUUUCACAUCUGACUUUCAGAGCCGCCUGCGCGCCCUUUACGCCCAGUAAUUCCGAACAACGCUCGCCCCCUUCGUAUUACCGCGGCUGCUGGCAC
RNAcentral lists this ribosomal RNA (292 nucleotides) under uncultured bacterium. RNAcentral's name for it is "partial 16S ribosomal RNA". The record is from RNAcentral.